Molecule: ribosomal RNA, 374 nt
Filed under: uncultured organism
Description: partial 16S ribosomal RNA
Rfam family: Bacterial small subunit ribosomal RNA
Source: RNAcentral
GUAGGUGGCAAGCGUUGUCCGGAAUUAUUGGGCGUAAGGCGCGCGCAGGCGGGGUCCUUUAAGUCUGAUGUGAAAGCCCACGGGCUCAACCGUGAGGGUCAUUGGAAACUGGGGGACUUGAGUACAGAAGAGGAAAGCGGAAUUCCAAGUGUAGCGGUGAAAUGCGUAGAGAUUUGGAGGAACACCAGUGGCGAAGGCGGCUUUCUGGUCUGUAACUGACGCUGAGGCGCGAAAGCGUGGGGAGCAAACAGGAUUAGAUACCCUGGUAGUCCACGCCGUAAACGAUGAGUGCUAAGUGUUAGGGGGUUUCCGCCCCUUAGUGCUGCAGCUAACGCAUUAAGCACUCCGCCUGGGGAGUACGGCCGCAAAGGCUG